GAGCUUAUCGUUCAAAUGGAUAGGACAGAAACCUUCUAAGUUUCCGAUGUAGGUUCAAUUCCUACUAAGCUC
This 72-nucleotide transfer RNA is filed under the name Microspora sp. UTEX LB472. RNAcentral describes it as "tRNA-Arg". It matches the Rfam family "tRNA". From Rfam's summary of the family: Transfer RNA (tRNA) molecules are approximately 80 nucleotides in length. Their secondary structure includes four short double-helical elements and three loops (D, anti-codon, and T loops). The record is from RNAcentral. Lineage: Eukaryota; Viridiplantae; Chlorophyta; Chlorophyceae; Microsporaceae.